Molecule: ribosomal RNA, 424 nt
Filed under: uncultured bacterium
Lineage: Bacteria
Description: bacterial SSU rRNA
Rfam family: Bacterial small subunit ribosomal RNA
Source: RNAcentral
UAGGGAAUAUUGGACAAUGGGGGAAACCCUGAUCCAGCCAUGCCGCGUGAGUGAUGAAGGCCUUCGGGUUGUAAAGCUCUUUUGUCAGGGAAGAUGAUGACGGUACCUGAAGAAUAAGCCCCGGCUAACUUCGUGCCAGCAGCCGCGGUAAUACGAAGGGGGCUAGCGUUGUUCGGAAUUACUGGGCGUAAAGGGCGCGUAGGCGGCUUCGCACGUCAGGAGUGAAAUCCCCGGGCUUAACCUGGGAAUUGCUUUUGAGACUGCGGAGCUUGAGUGCAGGAGAGGUGAGUGGAAUUCCCAGUGUAGAGGUAAAAUUCGUAGAUAUUGGGAGGAACACCGGUGGCGAAGGCGGCUCACUGGCCUGUAACUGACGCUGAGGCGCGAAAGCGUGGGGAGCAAACAGGAUUAGAUACCCCCGUAGUCC